CUCCUACGGGAGGCAGCAGGUGGGAAUAUUGGACAAUGGAGGAAACUCUGAUCCAGCAAUACUGCGUGAAUGAUGAAGGUCUUCGGAUUGUAAAGUUCUUUAGAUAGGGAAGAUAAUGACGGUACCUAUAGAAUAAGCACCGGCAAACUUCGUGCCAGCAGCCGCGGUAAUACGAAGGGUGCUAGCGUUGUUCGGAAUUAUUGGGCGUAAAGGGUGUGUAGGUGGAUUUGUAAGUUAGUUGUGAAAUCCCGGGGCUCAACCUCGGAAUUGCAGUUAAUACUAUAAGUCUAGAAUGAGAUAAGAGAUGGCAGAAUUUCUAGUGUAGGGGUUAAAUCCGCAGAUAUUAGAAGGAAUACCAGUGGUGAAGACGGCUAUCUUGGUCUUUAUUGACACUAAUACACGAAAGGGUGGGGAGCAAACAGGAUUAGAUACCCUGGUAGUCCACCCCGUAAACGAUGAUUACUAAAUGUCUGGAAGUAAUUCUGGGUGUUAAAGCUAACGCGUUAAGUAGUCCGCCUGGGGAAUACGGUCGCAAGACUAAAACUUAAAUGAAUUGACGGGGACCCGCACAAGCAGUGGAACAUGUGGUUUAAUUCGAUAGUCCACGAAAAACCUUACCAAAUCUUGACAUCCUGAUUACUGGUGUAGAAAUACACUAUACAUUUAGUUGAGUCAGAGACAGGUGAUGCAUGGCCGUCGUCAGCUCGUGCCGUGAGGUGUUAGGUUAAGUCCUUUAACGAGCGCAACCCCCGUCUUUAUUUGCUAACAGGUAAUGCUGAGAACUAUAAAGAGACCGCUAUUGACAAAAUAGAGGAAGGUGGGGAUGAUGUCAGGUCAUCACGUCCCUUAUGAUUUGGGCUACACAUGUGUUACAAUGGUGACUACAAAGAGUUACAAUGCCGUGAGGCGGAGUCAAUCUUAAAAAGUCAUCUCAGCUCGGAUUGCAGGCUGCAACUCGCCUGCAUGAAGUUGGAAUUGCUAGUAAUCGUAGAUCAGCAUGCUACGGUGAAUACGUUCUCGGGUCUUGUACACACUGCCCGUCACACCAUGAAAAGUUCUUUCUUCUUGAACUAUGUGAGCUAACCGUAA
Molecule: ribosomal RNA, 1089 nt
Filed under: uncultured bacterium
Lineage: Bacteria
Description: SSU rRNA
Rfam family: Bacterial small subunit ribosomal RNA
Source: RNAcentral